GAGGCGAAAGUACGGCGUCGUCGUGUUUCUUGAUUGAAAGCACCUGGAGCACCUGUGUCGGUGGAGUGCAAAGAAGGCGUCGAACGGCAAGGUGGUGGAGCACGUGGUGUUAGUGCUAAGAUGUCAACGAAGAAGCACAAACAGCGUUAACGUUCCAGGUGAGUUUGUUUUUUCUUUUGUCUCUCUUUCUCUGUUCUUUAGAGCGGUCAGCGUUUAUUCGUUUGGAUGGUUAUUUUGUGCUUUGGUGAUGGUGUGUCGUACGUUGUGUGUAGCCGAAUGGUUUUAAAAAAAAUUUAACUAGUAGUAGUAGUCAGAGGUAGAAGUACGAGCCUCAUCGUGUUCGUUGAUUAAGAGCACCUGUGUCGGUGGAGUGCAAAGAAGGCAUGAACGGCAAGGUGGUGGAGCUUUGUUUUGUCGUGUGAGGCGAGUGAGCUUUGGUGAUGGUGAGUUGUACUUUGCGUGUACGGUGUGUCACAGUCGUUAGUAUUGCUAUCAACGGUAAGAAGCACAAGCAGCGUUAGCCUUCCAGGUGAGUGUUUUUUUUUUCUUCCCCUUUCUCCGUCUCUUCUUCAGAGUGCUCCGCGUUUAUUCGUUUGGAAAUGACUAUUUUGUGCUUUGGUGAUGGUGAGUUGUACGUUGUGUGUAGCCGAAUGGUUUUGUACGAUGCCAGGCAAGUGUUUUCUACCGCAUUUGUCGCCUACGAACGGGUGAGUGAUGUCGCUAGACUGAUUUUCGUGUGUGUGUUUGAAGUUGUCUGGAUGUGCUGAUAGAGCGGCGGCAGAUCGGCUUUGUCAUCCACAGUGGCAGGCUUUGGAAACGUAAUUGUUCAUAUUUGUGAAAUGUUUGCUGUCAUGGUGAACCGCUCCUCCUUCAUGAGAAGGACGGUGUCGGUCGAGUCGGCGGUAGAAGUAUUAGUCGGUGAAGUUGUAUUUUUUUUAAAUGUUUGUUGAAAUGUGUGGCCGUAUGGCAAUUUGUUUGACGUGAGUGUAAGUUGCUCAAGAAACCAGUACUUUGUCUUUGAAAUGUGUUGUUUAUGAAGAGUAGCGUUAGCUCCUGGGUGAAGGUUUUCUUUCUGCCUUUUCAGCUCCAGGACCAACUGACGUGGAGAACGCAGAGAGGACGGGCUACCCGAAGAUGGAGUUCAUUUCUGUUUCCGAAAGACUUUGAAGCCCAAAGGACAGCAGAACUUUAUUUAUGUUUUCAGACAGUGCUUUGUGAAGUGUUUAAAAAAUACUUGUAAAUAUUGAAGUGUUUGCUGUAUAUUUUUGUCAAAGAUUAAAGUGUUUGGUCAUUCUUAAAA
Long non-coding RNA from Scatophagus argus, 1300 nucleotides. RefSeq lists it as uncharacterized. NCBI's taxonomy places the organism in Eukaryota, Metazoa, Chordata, Actinopteri, Scatophagidae. The record is from RefSeq and is a predicted model, not a curated record. The transcript has 3 exons.